AGAGUUUGAUCCUGGCUCAGGAUGAACGCUAGCUACAGGCUUAACACAUGCAAGUCGAGGGGAAACGGCAUCGAAAGCUUGCUUUUGAUGGGCGUCGACCGGCGCACGGGUGAGUAACGCGUAUCCAACCUGCCCACCACUUGGGGAUAACCUUGCGAAAGUAAGACUAAUACCCAAUGACGUCUCUAGAAGACAUCUGAAAGAGAUUAAAGAUUUAUCGGUGAUGGAUGGGGAUGCGUCUGAUUAGCUUGUUGGCGGGGUAACGGCCACCAAGGCGACGAUCAGUAGGGGUUCUGAGAGGAAGUCCCCCANAUUGGAACUGAGACACGGUCCAAACUCCUACGGGAGGCA
This 351-nucleotide ribosomal RNA is filed under the name uncultured bacterium. Its description in RNAcentral is "bacterial SSU rRNA". It matches the Rfam family "Bacterial small subunit ribosomal RNA", at positions 8 to 350 of the family's 1533-position model. The record is from RNAcentral.